GCCCCUUCAGCAGCACAUAUACUAAAAUUGGAACGAUACAGAGAAGAUUAGCAUGGCCCCUACCAAGGACGACAUGAAAAUUCAUGAAGUUAAGUGUAUCUAGUUUAU
Molecule: small nuclear RNA, 108 nt
Organism: Sorex fumeus (smoky shrew)
Lineage: Eukaryota; Metazoa; Chordata; Mammalia; Eulipotyphla; Soricidae
Source: RefSeq, a predicted model, not a curated record